UUUAUCGGAGAGUUUGAUCCUGGCUCAGGACGAACGCUGGCGGCGUGCCUAAUACAUGCAAGUCGAGCGGGCAGAUGGGAGCUUGCUCCCUGAUGUUAGCGGCGGACGGGUGAGUAACACGUGGGUAACCUGCCUGUAAGACUGGGAUAACUCCGGGAAACCGGGGCUAAUACCG
Molecule: ribosomal RNA, 175 nt
Filed under: Bacillus subtilis
Lineage: Bacteria; Bacillati; Bacillota; Bacilli; Caryophanales; Bacillaceae
Description: partial 16S ribosomal RNA
Rfam family: Bacterial small subunit ribosomal RNA
Source: RNAcentral